This 253-nucleotide ribosomal RNA is filed under the name uncultured bacterium. RNAcentral's name for it is "partial 16S ribosomal RNA". It matches the Rfam family "Bacterial small subunit ribosomal RNA", at positions 524 to 776 of the family's 1533-position model. The record is from RNAcentral.
UACGUAGGGUGCAAGCGUUGUCCGGAAUUAUUGGGCGUAAAGAGCUCGUAGGCGGUCUGUCGCGUCGGCUGUGAAAUCCCGAGGCUCAACCUCGGGUCUGCAGUCGAUACGGGCAAACUGGAGUGUUGCAGGGGAGACUGGAAUUCCUGGUGUAGCGGUGAAAUGCGCAGAUAUCAGGAGGAACACCGAUGGCGAAGGCAGGUCUCUGGGCCACUACUGACGCUGAGAAGCGAAAGCGUGGGGAGCGAACAGG